GAGCUGAUCGCUUCCACAGAAUCCUUUAAUAAUGGAAGCCCUACAUAGGGCAAGAAGACCUGGAAUCUGCCUGCAAGAGUCAUCCCCCAUUCCUCUUGGGAACCACCAGGAUAAAGAAACUAAGGCACAGGGAAGUUAAGUGACUUGCCCAGGGUCGCACAGCUAGCAAGUGAAAGAACCUGGAUUCCAUGGUGGGUGAUCAAGAACCAGACUGACCUCUUAACCAUACAAGCCUUUUCUUAAAAACUCCGAGAAAGUGGACAGAGUGAGCCCAGAACAACCCUGGAAAUCCACCCAGGUGUUUCCAAGAAUAAUCUUCAGCUUCAACACCAACCAAAAGAUUUCCCAACAAAGGGAGCUUUCUCUUUGGAAGAGCAAUUCUGAUUGAACUGAAUGUCCUCUGUAUAAGGGCAUAAGUCAAGUGCAAGGUAAGCCCUGCAUCAGCAAAAAUCAUUAUCA
Gorilla gorilla gorilla (western lowland gorilla) is the source of this 459-nucleotide long non-coding RNA. RefSeq lists it as uncharacterized. The transcript has 4 exons. The record is from RefSeq and is a predicted model, not a curated record. Lineage: Eukaryota; Metazoa; Chordata; Mammalia; Primates; Hominidae.